RNAcentral lists this ribosomal RNA (231 nucleotides) under uncultured bacterium. Its description in RNAcentral is "partial 16S ribosomal RNA". It matches the Rfam family "Bacterial small subunit ribosomal RNA", at positions 118 to 347 of the family's 1533-position model. The record is from RNAcentral.
UGAGUAACCUGCCCUUCACUCUGGGAUAACUCCGGGAAACCGGGGCUAAUACUGGAUAUGACUCGAACAGGCAUCUGUUUCGGGUGGAAAGAUUUAUUGGUGGAGGAUGGACUCGCGGCCUAUCAGCUUGUUGGUGGGGUAAUGGCUCACCAAGGCGACGACGGGUAGCCGGCCUGAGAGGGCGAUCGGCCACACUGGGACUGAGACACGGCCCAGACUCCUACGGGAGCA